UUGUCUGGAUCAAUGAUGAGAAAAAUUGUCUGAGGAUGCUGAGGGACUCAUUCCAGAUGUCAAUCUGAGGUCCAGAUGAGUGACCCUUUACUAGGACAAAUCAGACUCUCAGAGCCUGACUCUCAGAGCCCAAGACUGCUGUGAGCAUGUGUUUUCUUUCUUUUGGAGCAAGUAAUUAGCAUCUUAUUUGUGAGGCAGUCUGCUCCUAGAUAUGCUGAUACACUAACCCAAGUCUUGCUUUAUUUUCCUCUAUUUGAACUGACUUGUAGAUAGAUUCGUGUAUAUAGGAAAUAGGUUCUUGAAUAAUGAAUGAGGAAACAAGAAAGAUUGAAUUAAGAAGGGGUCAAGCAACUGUGCUGGGUACUGAAAGUCCUACUAGUUUUGGGCUAAAAGAAGGGAACAUCAAAUGCCCUUAUUAAAUGUUGACAGCAAAAUCAAUUUUAGUGCUUUUUUUUGUUUUUGUUUUUUAAAGAUUUAUUUAUUUAUGCUUACAAGAGCUGGGGUACAGGCCAGAAGUGUGAUGGGGGGAGGGUGAGAGUAUUCACCAGAGACAGAAUGGAGAACAGAACAGGCAGAUUAACUGAAAUACACUGUUUGAGGGGAGCAACGGGUGAGUCAGGUCUGCUGCACCAUGUGUGUUGCUCCCUGGCCAGAUGGGGGAUCGAACUUAUGCUGCAGUGGCAGUCAGCUUUAUAGGUUGCGUCUUAACUCCUUGCGCCACCAGGGAGGCCCUUAGUGCUUUAUUUUGAAUGUUGGUUAUUUCCUGAGACUAUGUCUUUGUUUCUUGUUCUGUCAUGUUUAUCUGAGGUAGAAUGAAUGGAUGGAAGGUGGCCUUCUGCUUCAUAGAGUGGGGGUGAACCAGGAUCCUGUCAAAUUCACAUGUCACCUGGUUUGUGCCACAUCCUGAGCUCUCUUCAGUGGCUACUGGAUAAGAUCUUCAUGAUAUGUACUAUUCUUUGGUGGAGGUAGUAUGGAAAGUGCUAACUCUACAAAGAAAAGACCUUCCUCCCCUGGAGGUAUUCAGGAAUCCUGAAGAAGUGUGGCCCAGAGUGUGCACUGUCCCUAUGGAUAUCAGACAAUGGUGGAGUUGGUAUGGAACUGCCCAUAGCAAAGGAAUCAGGACAUUUCUCUCCUUAUAUGGCUGGAACUGCAUGGGUGACACAGAAAAAGUGUGAUCGUGGGAUGCACCAUACCCCUGGUUAACUCACAAAGUGGAGUUGGUGGUAGAAGACUCACCAUCUGUACAGAAAAUAAGGCUUGGUCUAUUUGAUGUCCAGAAGAUGGUGAGAGCUGUGACAUUGUCCCAGGAGUGUACCAUACCCGUGGAUUAUCAUUGUGUAUGAAUAGAAGACGUGUUAAUAAUAGAAGAUUACUAGUUGUGUGGAAGAUGGAGAGGACCCAAGGAUCAACUGGAUAAAUAAAGAUGGUGCAGCUGGCGAGAGGGAUGGCUCUCUGGGCACAGAGGGAGGAAGACCUUACUACCCUCAGAACACCAGAGGUGCUGGCGAGGCCCACAAGGCGUAUGGACGGGAAUACUCCAUGCCCUUGGGUGCACACAAAGGGUGCAGUUGAUGUGAGUGGGAUAGUUCACCAUGCAGAGAGUGGGGAAAACCUUACUGCCAUGGAAGACGGGAUGUGCUGCAGAGCGUGGAGGACUGACACUGGGGUGCACCUUGUCCUUACACUGACAUAAGGUGCAGUUGAUGUGAGAGGGAUAGCUCACCAUGCAGAGAGUGGGGAAAACCUUACUGCCAUGGAAGACGGGAGGUGCUGCAGAGCGUGGAGGACUGACACUGGGAUGCACCUUGUCCUUACACUGACAUAAGGUCCUGAGCUACUGGCUGUGGUGCCUACCUGGAUUUCAAAAGCCUGGAACCUUCUUAAAUGUGCUUGGAUCAAUGAUGACACCCCUCAAAAGCAUUCCUUGGAAAAGCUGAACAAAAUGAGUGAGAACUCUCUACCGUCGUUCUCAUCGAAUCUGAGGUCCAGCACAGUGUUUGAGUUGGGACCGUAGGUGAGAGAGAGAGCUAACCCUUGAGCACACAAAUGCACAUCCCAGCCAGGAAGUCAAUAACUAACAUUCUUCUGGCAUCAAGCCAGGGAUUUUACCUCAAGAUCAAGCCAGUGCCUGACAAUCCAGACCCUUGGUGGCCUCACCUGGUGGUGCAUUAAGUGGUCCCCACAGAACUAGGUCAAAGAGACUGUCAUAGAGGCCAUCUGUCCUUCCUUAGGGAAAGAGCUGAUUGACAGCAGAGUAUAUUAGGCCCUGGGACUACUUUGGUACACAUCAUGUUUCUGGGUACCUUUCUGAAGUGUGGGUUUGCUCUCUUAGGUGAAGUUGGCAAAAGAAUGGACACUAUCCUCACUCACAAGGAAGAAGACUCUCUCCCCUCAGAUCACCAGAGGUGCUGUCAGGUCUGUCGAUGCAAGUAGAUAGGAGUGCACAGUACCGGUGGAUACUCACUAAAGUAGGCUGCCCUCCGCCACAAGUGCUGGUUUGGAUGUUGGCAGGUACUAGACCUGCCUGACAGGUGGUUAUUGCACCUUUCUGAGUAACAUUUGGGGCUGAAUCCAAGAGUGGAAAGACCUUCUCCCUGUUUGGCCCAUGGUCUCCACACCCUCCGAGCUGCUGGAGGUGUAUGUUAACCUGGGCUAGUCCAGGAGGGCGCCACCUUAAAUUCCUAAAGUCUGUAUCCUCUUUGAAUGUGCUUGGAUCGAUGAUGACACCCCUCAAAUGCAUUCCUUGGAAAAGCUGAACAAAAUGAGUGAGAACCCUCUACCGUCGUUCUCAUCGGAUCUGAGGUCCAGCACGCUUCAACCUGGGAUGGAGCAGUUGACACAGGAGGGAUCGCUCACCAUGCACAUGAGAAGAAAACCGUAUUGCCAUGGAAGAUGGGAAGUGCUGCCGAAUGUUGGAGGAGCGUCACUGGGGGUGCACCUUGUCCGUACAUGCUGACAUAGGGUGCAGCUGGCAAAAGAGUGGACACUGUCCUUGCUCAUAAGGAAGAAGACCUCAUUUCCCUCAGAUAACUGGACAGGCUGUCAGGUCCAUGGAUGCAAGGAUGGGAGUGCACACUACCAGUGGAUACUCACUAAGGUGCAGUUGGCGAGAGGGAUGGCUGUCUGGGCACAGAGGAAGGAAGACCUUGCUGCCCUCAGAAUACCAGAGGUGCUGGCGAGGCCCACAAGGCGUAUGGACGGGAAUACUCCGUGCCCUUGGGUGCACACAAAGGGUCCAGUAGGCAAGUAGAGUGGACACUUGCCUUGUGCAAAAGGAGGAAGACCUUGCUCAUCUAGAUAAAUGGAGAUUCUGGCAAAACCCUCAAGAUGUGAUAAGGGAUUGCCCUAUAAUCCCGGACAUCCACAAAUGGUGAAGCUGUCUUGGAGGGAUGGCUCGCCUUGCUCGGAAGAAGUUACACCUUAUUGCCAUGGAAGGCCAGAUGUGCUGCUGAGUCUUCCAGGGUGUCUCCUGGGGUGAACUUUGUCCGUGGACGCCAACAUACAGUGAAGUUGGCGAGAGGUAUGGCUUUCUGGGCACAGAGGGAGGAAGACCUUGCUCCCCUCAGAGCACCAGAGGUGCUGGCGAGGCCCACAAGGCGUGUGGACAGGAAUACUCCGUGCCCUUGGGUGCACACAAAGGGUGCAGUUGGCGAGAGGGAUGGCUCUCUGGGCACAGAGGGAGGAAGACAUUGCUCCCCUCAGAACACAGGAGGUGCUGGCGAGGCCCACAAGGCUUGUGGAUGGGAAUACUCCGUGCCCUUGGGUGCACACAAAGGGUGCAGUUGGUGAGAGGGAUGGCUCUCUGGGCACAGAGGAAGCAAGACCUUGCUCCCCUCAGAGCACCAGAGGUGCUGGCGAGGCCCACAAGGCAUGUGGACAGGAAUACUCCGUGCCCUUGGGUGCACACAAAAGGUUCAGUUGAUGUGAGUGGGAUAGCUCACCAUGCUGAGAGUGGGGAAAACCUUACUGCCAUGGAAGACGGGAGGUGCUGCAGAGCGUGGAGGACUGACACUGGGGUGCACCUUGUCUUUACACUGACAUAGGUCCUGGGCUACUGGCUGUGGCGCCUGCCUGGAUUUCAAAAGCCUGGAACCUUCUUUAAUGUGCUUGGAUCGAUGAUGACACCCCUCAAAUGCAUUCCUUGGAAAAGCUGAACAAAAUGAGUGAGAACUCUCUACCGUCGUUCUCAUCGAAUCUGAGGUGCGAUUUGCGAAAGAGAGGACACUGUCCUCUCUCACAAGGAAGAACACAUUGCUACCCUCAGAUCACCGGAUGUGCUGUUGAAUCCUGCAAGGGUGUGGAUGGCGUGUACUGUACCCAUGGAUACUCACAAAGGGUGUAGUUGGCUUGGAGGAUGGCUUGCCAUGUGCAGAGUGUGGAAAACCUUUGUAUUGUGGAAGACCAGAGGUGCUGCUGAGUCUUCGAAGAGUGUCUCUUGGCAUGAACCUUGUCCAUAAACACAGUGCAGUUUUGCAGAAAUUGGAAGCUUGCAAUUCACACAUGAAGGAAGCUCUUGAUCAUCUAGAUCACAGGAGGUGCUAACAAAACUCUCGAGGUGUGAGGACUGGAUGCCCUGUGCCAUUGGAUGUCCACGAAGUGUGCAGUUGGCUUGGAGGAAUGGCUCGUCCUGCUCAGAAGGAGUUACACCUUACUGCCAUGGAAGACUGGAGGUGCUGCUGAGUCUUCGGGAGUGUCUCUUGGAGUGAACUUUGCCUGUGGAUGCCGACAUAUGGUGCAGAUGGGAGGAGUGUGUAUGCUUGCUGUGGGAAAAGGGUGGAAGACCAUGCUCCCCUCAGAUCACCAGAGGUGCUGCUGGUGCAGUUGGGAGAAGGAAGGCUCUCAGUGUGCAGAAAGAGGAAGAGCUUAGUGCUGUGCAAGUCCAGAGCUGCUCCUGAACCCUCAAGAAGUGUCGCUGGGGUUGCAAAAUUUCUGCGGAUGCCCAUAUACCGUGCAGUUGGCGUAGAGCAUGGAUACUUGCUUUGUAAACCAGGAGGAAGACCUUGUUCUCCAUAGAUCACCAGAGGUGCAUGCAAGUCGUGCCAGGCUUGUGGUUGGCAGUGCAAAGUACCCCUGGCUGCCCACAAAGGUGCAGUUGGCGUAGAGCAUGGAUACUUGCUUUGUAAACCAGGAGGAAGACCUUGUUCUCCAUAGAUCACCAGAGGUGCAUGCAAGUAGUGCCAGGCUUGUGGUUGGCAGUGCAAAGUACCCCUGGCUGCCCACAAAGGUAAAGUGGCUUGGAUGAUGGUUCACCUUUUGCAGAGGGCGGAAGACCUUACUAUAGUGGAUGACCAGAGGUGCUGCUGAGUCUUCAAGGAGUGUCUCUUGGCAUGAACCUUGUAAAUAAAUACGCCUGCAGCCUCCUCAAAUGUGCUUGGAUCGAUGAUGACACCCCGCAAAUGCAUUCCUUGGAAAAGCUGAACAAAAUGAGUGAGAACCCUCCACCGUCGUUCUCAUCGGAUUUGAGGUGAAGUGGCUUGGAAGAUGGCUCGCCUUGAGCAGAGGGUGGAAGACUGAAUGUGCUGCUGAGUGUUCGAGGAGUGUCUGUUGGUGUGAACCUUGUACAUAAAUAUGGUGUGGUUGGUGUGAGAGGGAAAGCUUGUCGUGUGCUGAAGGAGGAAGAUCUUACUGCCAUGGAAGGCCAGAGGUCCUUCUGUCUUCAAGGAGUGUCUCGGGGUGAACCUAGUCUGGAGAUGAUGACAUAUGAUGCUGGAGGCCUUGGGGUCCUCUACUGGCCAGGAAGACUACCCGCCUACAUUUCUCAAAGCCUGAAGUCUCUUCUAAUAUACUUGGGUUGAAGAUAACACCUCUCCUAUGCAUCCCUUGGGAAAGCUGAAAAACAUGAGUGAAAACUCUACCAUCAUUUUCCUCGAAUCUUCACAGAGGUCCAGUUGGCAAGCAGAUGCUUGCUUUGCACACAAGGAGGAAGACCUUGCUCACCCAGAUCACCAGACGUUAUGGCAAAACCCUCAAGGUGUGAUGACAGCAUUACGCUGUGCCCUUGGAUGACCACAAAGGGUGUGCUUGGUUGAGAGGGAUGGCUCGCCAUGCCCAGAGAAGAAGAACUUACUGCUGUGGAAGACUGGGGGUGCUGCUGAGUGUUUUAGGCAUUUCAAUAGGGUGCACCUUGUCCAUGGAUGCAAAAAUACGAUACUGGAAGUACUGGAGAGCCCAGGAUGGCAUAUGGAUAGGAGUGUGCAGUACCUGUGGAUACUCACAAAGGGUGCAGUUGGGAGAAGGAAGGCUCUCAGUGUGCAGAAAGAGGAAGAGCUUAGUGCUGUGCAAGUCCAGAGCUGCUCCUGAACCCUCAAGAAGUGUCGCUGGGGUUGCAAAAUUUCUGCGGAUGCCCAUAUACCCCUCCUCGAAUGUGCUUGGAUCGAUGAUGACACCCCUCAAAUGCAUUCCUUGGAAAAGCUGAACAAAAUGAGUGAGAACCCUCUACCGUCGUUCUCAUCGGAUCUGAGGUGCAGUUGGCGUAGAGCAUGGAUACUUGCUUUGUAAACCAGGAGGAAGACCUUGUUCUCCUCAGAUCACCAGAGGUGCACGCAAGUCGUGCCAGGCUUGUGGUUGGCAGUGCAAAGUACCCCUGGCUGCCCACAAAGGUGAAGUGGCUUGGAGGAUGGCUCAUUUACCUUGUGCAGAGGGUGGAAGACUGGAGAUGCUGCUGAGUCUUCAAGGAGUGUUUCUUGGCAUGAAUCUUGUACAUAAAUAGGGUGAAUUGGCUUAGAGGACAGCUCGCCUUGUGCAGAGGGUGGAAGACUUUACUAUUGUGGAAGACCAGAGGUGCUGCUGAGUCUUCAAGGAGUGUCUCUUGGCGUGAACCUUGUACUUAAAUAUGGUGCAGUUUGAACAGAAGCUGGACUCCUGCCUUGCACACAGAGCAGAAGACUUUGCUCCUGUCAGACCACAGGAGGUGCUGGCCAUUCCUGCGAGGCACGUGGAUGGGAGUAUGAAGUACUGGUAGACGCCCACAAAAGGUGAAGUGGCUUGGAGGAUGGCUCACUGUGCACAGAGGACAGAAGACCUUACUAGUGUGGAAGACCGGAGGUGCUGCUGAAUCUUCGAGGAGUGUACCUGUUGUGAACCUAGUACAUAAAUAAGGUGAAGUGGCUUGGAGGAUGGCUCACUGUGCACAGAGGACAGAAGACCUUACUAGUGUGGAAGACCAGAGGUGCUGCUGAAUCUUCAAGGAGUGUCGCCUGUUGUGAACCUAGUACAUAAAUAAGGUGCAGUUUGCACGGAAGUUGGACCCCUGCUUUGCACACAGAGCAGAAGGCUUUGCUCUGGUCAGACCACUGGAGGCGCUGGCAAUUCCUGUGAUGCAUGUGGAUGGGAGUGUGCAGUACCCAUGAACGCCUGCAAAGGGUGAAGUGGCUUGGAGGAUGGCUCGCUGUGCACAGAGGACAGACGACCUUACUAGUGUGGAAGACCGGAGGUGCUGCUGAGUCUUCGAGGAGUGUCGCCUGUUGUGAACCUAGUACAUAAAUAAGGUGCAGUUUGCACGGAAGUUGGACCCCUGCUUUGCACACAGAGCAGAAGGCUUUGCUCUGGUCAGACCACUGGAGGCGCUGGCAAUUCCUGUGAUGCAUGUGGAUGGGAGUGUGAAGUACCCAUGAACGCCUGCAAAGGGUGAAGUGGCUUGGAGGAUGGCUCGCUGUGCACAGAGGACAGACGACCUUACUAGUGUGGAAGACCGGAGGUGCUGCUGAGUCUUCGAGGAGUGUUGCCUGUUGUGAACCUAGUACAUGAAUAAGGUGAAGUGACUUGGAGGAUGGCUCGCUGUGCACAGAGGACAGACGACCUUACUAGUGUGGAAGACCGGAGGUGCUGCUGAGUCUUCGAGGAGUGUCGCCUGUUGUGAACCUAGUACAUAAAUAAGGUGCAGUUUGCACGGAAGUUGGACCCCUGCUUUGCACACAGAGCAGAAGGCUUUGCUCUGGUCAGACCACUGGAGGCGCUGGCAAUUCCUGUGAUGCAUGUGGAUGGGAGUGUGAAGUACCCAUGAACGCCUGCAAAGGGUGAAGUGGCUUGGAGGAUGGCUCGCUGUGCACAGUGGACAGAUGACCUUACUAGUGUGGAAGACCGGAGGUGCUGCUGAGUCUUCGAGGAGUGUCGCCUGUUGUGAACCUAGUACAUAAAUAAGGUGCAGUUUGCACGGAAGUUGGACCCCUGCUUUGCACACAGAGCAGAAGGCUUUGCUCUGGUCAGACCACUGGAGGCGCUGGCAAUUCCUGUGAUGCAUGUGGAUGGGAGUGUGAAGUACCCAUGAACGCCUGCAAAGGGUGAAGUGGCUUGGAGGAUGCCUCGCUGUGCACAGAGGACAGACGACCUUAUUAUUGUGGAAGACCAGAGGUGCUGCUGAGUCUUCGAGGAGUGUCGCCUGUUGUGAAUCUAGUACAUAAAUAAGGUGCAGUUUGCACGGAAGUUGGACCCCUGCUUUGCACACAGAGCAGAAGGCUUUGCUCUGGUCAGACCACUGAAGGUGCUGGCAAUUCCUGUGAUGCAUGUGGAUGGGAGUGUGAAGUACCCAUGAACGCCUGCAAAGGGUGAAGUGGUUUGGGGGAUGACUCACUGUGUGCAGAGGGCAGAAGACCUUACUAUUGUGGAUGAACGGAAAUGCUGCUGAGUCUUUGAGGAGUGACACCCCUGAAAUGCAUUCCUUGGAAAAGCUGUACAAAAUGGGUGCUGUUAGCGUGAGAGGGAUGACUUUCCAGGUGCAGAGGAUGGAAGACCUCACUGCCAUGGAAGAUUGGAGUUGCUGGGAGGUUUCAAGGAGUGUUGGUGCUGGUGUACCUUGUCCUUGGAUGCUGACAUAUGUCUAAAUGGACUCCUCUGGCCUGGUAGCUGGGCUUCCCACCUCCAGGCUGCUGGAAACCUUGACUCCUGGCCUGCUCUACUAUGCUCCCCACCUGGAUUUCUUAAAGUCUGCUGCCUCCUUGAAUGUGCUCGGAUCGAUGAUGACACCCCUCAAAUGCAUUCCUUGGAAAAGCUGAACAAAAUGAGUGCACUUGGAGAGGUUGGCUGUCCAGGCACAGAGGGAGCAAUUGCUUAGUGCUGUCGAAGUCUGGAGAUGCUGCUGAGUCUUUGUUGCGUGUUGCUGGGCAUGCCAUUGGAAUGGAGAGUGGAUGGCUCACUGUGCAGAGGGCGGAGGACCUUGCUACCAUGGAUGACUGGAGGUGCCGGUGAAUUGCUCUGGAUCCUCCCUGAGUCUUAUUGUCCAUCCUGAGAUGUUGGCAUGAGCGACAGCUUCCCCUUGACCACAAACAUGCAGCCACCAGCCAGGGAACCAACACCUCAAGGGCUAUAGCCCUAAGUUGUUCUGGCUGGCUUAUCUGGGAAUGAAUAAAGGAAUACGUUCGAGGUGAAGCCAGAUCCUAGAAGGGAAUGGAAUCUGUCUGUUCCUCUGCCUUUCUUCUUAAAUGUCAGCUCCAAAGCUUGAGCUGACAACUCACUUCUCAGUGAUUCUCUAUUCCUACCUUUGGCCUUUUGGAUGCCCCUGCAGAUGAUAUCUCGGGAAUGGUUUUGGGAGUGAAUGAUUCCAGUUACUCUCUGAAACAAGAAUCUCCAGACAAAGAGCCUUUUCACCUACCUGUUAGCAAAGGGCCAUUCUCUGAAGGUGAUGACUCUAACAGUGAGGUGGAUUUGUUACUUCUACCACCAGCUUCACCAAAACCAUGAUACAUUCAUCCUUAUGCAUGGAGAUUCCUCUCCUUCCUGUGUUGCAGCGGACACCUCCUGCAGAUAAGAAAUGCUUAACUGAGAAAUGCUCAUGUUGGGAUAUCAUCGAUGAGACUUUAAUUUGGGCAUGGUGACUGUUUCCCUUCUGCUACUUGAUUCAAUCCCAGGAGCCUCAGUAGAGGAAAUUUAUUGCACAAGAAACUCAAAAUGAUGGAAUUGCUCAGUGCUCCCAUAAAUAUACAUUUAUAAUUUUCAUUUGCCAUGUGGUAAAUUUAAAACAUAGGACACAUUAAAAAGAAACUGCAUGAUUUUUUUUCAAAAAUUCAAAGCAUAUCUAAAUAUCUAACAUAUAAAUUAAGUGCCCUCCUCUUUCUCAAAUCUAUCUCCCAGAGUUUUCCUCUAUUAAGGGAAUUGUGUGCAUUCUUUAAGUGGAUCGAUGUGCACAAACACACACGCAAGUUAUUUUGGGGGGGUUCUGGAAAUGGGGCCAUACUGUACACAUUCUUCUGCAAAUUGCCUUUUAUUUAAUAGUUUUUCAAUGCCCUUUUUCUAUUUCAAUAAUACACAUCUUUGUCAUUUGUUGAAUGACUACAUAAUUGUUUUGUAGAUACACUUAAAGGUUUUAAGCAUUUCUCAUUCAGAGAUAUUUAUGUAAGCACCAAAUUUCUGUGCAAUGAGCCUCCCUAUAUAUCAAUAAUUUUGCAAUUGUCAAUUAUAUCAUAAUAAAUUACUUAGCAGUUGAAAUACUGGGAUUAAGGAUAUAAACAUUUUUCAAAUUUUGAAAAUUAUUACAAGACUUCCUUUAAAAUGUGGUAACAAUUUUACCCUCAAAUGGCAAUGAAUGAGAUUGCCAUCUCCCACAACCUUACAGAUAAUGGAUUUUAUAAAUAUUUAAAAUCUUUGCCAAUGUUAUAGCCCAAACUAUUGUCUUAAACUGUAUUUUUGUUUUUUAGUUUAAUCAUUUUCUUCAUGUUUAUUAGUCAUCUGUAUUUUUUAAUUUCUUCUUUAUGUCCAAUUUUGGGGGUUGGGGGAGCAUUUAGUCUCUUCCUGAACUCAUUUGUUAUUGGGGGAAUGAGCUUUGGAUUGUCAAGCAUUACAGAUAUUUUUACACACUCUAAACUUUGUUUUUGUUAUAAGAAUGUGUAUAAUUGUUAUAUGUCCAAGUAUAACCAUGUCUGCUAUGGCUUCUGAGUUUCAUGUCAUUUUGGAAAGAUAUUUAUGCUGAUUCCAUAAAACCCUUCACCUAUGUUAACUUCUAAUUCUUUCGUGUUUUUUAAAUUCAAAUUCGUAAAAUCAUGAGAAAUUUUUUUGAUUUGAAAUCUUAAAGUUGCCAAGUUAUUUGCCAUUACUUGCGAUUAUUUGCCAAUAAUUGCACAUUUAUCUGUAAUGCCAUCUUGCAUAUAUGCUGUAUUCUCAUCUGUGACUGGCUCCAUUUUUGUUCUGUGGAUCUGUGUGUGUCUUCUUCUGCCUCCUGUCUCAUGUGUUUUCUCAUUGGAAGAAAUUACAGUUUAGACUGCAAUUUCCUCAACUUUAAUAAAUUAAUAUGGGGAAAAUUGGUUCUUAAUAAGUCUUCCUAUCCAAGGACAAGGUAUGUCUUUCUUUUAUUCAAUAAUUUACUUACUGUUAAUAUUUUCACUUUGUGAUGGGUAUAUUUUCUUUCAGCUUAUUUACUUGAUAAUAUUACUGCUUCUGAAAGUUUGUUUUAUUUUGGGGGGCAAGUGGUCACCUUACUCUUUCUCAAGACUUCUCAUAUUGUUUCAAAUAUGUACUAAAUCCUUUGCAAAUAUUGAUAGUUUGUAUUCUCCUUUCCAAAUGAUCUGGGUUUUAGUUACGUUGAUAAAUGUUACUGACUGUUACUUGCAGAGCACUUACAUGAUUGUGGAAAUACUGCCUACCCUGAUUUUGGUUUUAAUGGAAUGCUUCUUUGGUUUGACCAGCAUAGUGUUACUGAUCUGGUAUGCAGAAAGGCUCCCAGAAGGAGCUAUAAUCAGGAAAUUGAGUUCUUUAUACCUACAAGAGCAAGGGAAAACACCACUUUGACAAGGUUUAGCAGUGUUUCAAAAGCAGGAGAAAAGAAUGUUUGCUUCUGGGCUGGUGUGGUUUUUAAGGUGGGCCUUUCAAGCAGGGAACUCAUCACAAAUGGGCAAGAUGUUUGAUGCAGUAGUCUAAGGUGAAAGAGUAAGGUGAGGGUCUUGACGAGUCUAGAAAAUCAAAUUGAUAAUAAGCUGCUUUGUCUAUGUAAGAUGUUAUCAAUGAUAGAAGAGCCAUUUGCCUAGAUGAGCAAAUUGUGUAUUUGUUGGUUUACAGUUCUAUCUUAUUAGAUUGGACUCUUCUGGGGUGGCUUUGGGUAUAAGUCCCAAAUAAGUUAUUUUGAUGUGGGUGGUCUCAAGCAUCAAUAUAAGAUGCUAAUUUUAAAUUUGACACAUUUUAUGCAUCAUGUUAGGAAAGUCUCCCACAUUUUAUAUUGUUCUAAGAAAUUUUAGUCAAAGCUAGAUGGUAGAUAGAAUCAAAUAUUUUUGCAUAAAUAAUUGUAUUCCU
This is a long non-coding RNA of Talpa occidentalis (Iberian mole), 12213 nucleotides long. RefSeq lists it as uncharacterized. The transcript is spliced from 63 exons. The record is from RefSeq and is a predicted model, not a curated record. NCBI's taxonomy places the organism in Eukaryota, Metazoa, Chordata, Mammalia, Eulipotyphla, Talpidae.